Molecule: ribosomal RNA, 255 nt
Filed under: uncultured bacterium
Lineage: Bacteria
Description: partial 16S ribosomal RNA
Rfam family: Bacterial small subunit ribosomal RNA
Source: RNAcentral
CGGACGGGUGAGUAACGCGUGGAAAACCUGCCGUAUACUGGGGGAUAACACUUAGAAAUAGGUGCUAAUACCGCAUAAGCGCACAGCUUCGCAUGAAGCGGUGUGAAAAACUCUGGUGGUAUACGAUGGUUCCGCGUCUGAUUAGCUAGUUGGUGGGGUAAUGGCCUACCAAGGCAACGAUCAGUAGCCGGCCUGAGAGGGUGAUCGGCCACAUUGGGACUGAGACACGGCCCAAACUCCUACGGGAGGCAGCAG